AAGUACUCGGAUGGAUAAGAAAAUGUUCCUUUUUUUUUUUAUUAUUCUCGAAGCAAAAAAAUUACUCGAAGGAGAAAUCGAAAAUAAUAAAACUAUACGUCGAUGUGUUUUCUAUAAUAUGAAAUACUCGUUCGUGAUUGGUCGACAAUUAUCAUCAUUAAGGCAGCUUUUAAUAUAUCCCGUUAAUUUAAUUCUUCGUAUAAAACGAUAAAUUAUCUCUUACGUUUCUUUUUUUUUUUUUCUUCAUAAAAAUGCUCGAAGAAAUAUAUUACAUUUAUUUUAAUAUUAAUAUAUAUAUAUAUUAAUACAUUUUUUGAUUAAUAUAUGUUUCAUGAAUUUUUCAUAGCAUACGUAUGACAAAAAAUCGCAUUUACGAAAGUAGGCUUAAAGAUUCGAGCGCGCUUCCGCGCAUGUGUGAGUGCGUGUACGUGUCGUGUGCGUGCGUAUACAUGUCGUGUUCGUGUGCGUGUGAGUGCGUACGCGUAAAGGUGUGUAUCUACGAGUGCUUUUUCUCAUCGCCUCGGUAAGCGCGUCGUUUUUAGUAGAAAACGAGGACACGAUUGUUUCGCCUCGGUGCUUUUUCGGACGCAACUUGUUUCGCUUCCUGCAAAAGAAAGCUACUUGUGAAACGAGAUACAAUUAUGCGACUUGGUUGGAAUAGUAGAGGAGUAGAAAAAAAAAAGAAGAAAGAAAGAGAGGGAAAGAAAAAAAGAAAGAAUGAAAGAAAGAAGACAUGCAGUAAGUAAAUAAGUAAACUGUAUUGUCCUGUUUUGAUCGUGCAAAGGAUGAGGAAGAGAAAAGAAAAAAGUAAAAAGAAAAAGAAAAAAAAAUAAGAAACAAAAAAGUGAAAAGGAGCGUACGAAGGACGAGAAACGCUUUCGAAAGAGUACACGCGAGUAAAAUUUCGCGAAACUCAUAGGCAAAGCACGUAGACAUCGUCGUUGUCGUUGUUGUCGUCGUCGUCGUCGUCGUCAUCGUUUUCGUUGUCGUCGUUGUCGACGUCGACGUCGUCACAUCGAAGAAAAAGGUUUCACUUCUCGACCACGAAGAAUCGAUCUCGAAUGACUUUCACUGAACGACCAAUUGGACUUCCCUGCUAUCUAUUUCUACAUGAUGGAGAUAAGAAUCAAUUAAACUUGGCAGUGAUUGGCAAAGACCGAGAGUUAAGAUCCUGAGCAUGAAUCAUUCGUAAAGCUUGUAACGGUAUUCGUGGACUCGCUGCAGAGAUCUUCGGAAGCAUGUUUCAAAAUAUUUUCAUUCUUAAUUACCACGACGAUUGGAUAUUCUUAAGGAUAAUCAGGGACCCUUUUCUUCGGACAUUCUAGUCCUUUCUCUUUGUCAAUGAUUACGUAUAAUCAUGAGCUCAACUUUUCAUAAAGGUAAACAUACUACUAUUUUACGAGGCCGCACGUUUGUUUGUAGUUGGUUUAUUUAGAUUAAUCACCUCACAAAAUACGUAUGUCCGAUCACAUAACUAACA
Vespula pensylvanica (western yellowjacket) is the source of this 1480-nucleotide long non-coding RNA. RefSeq lists it as uncharacterized. The record is from RefSeq and is a predicted model, not a curated record. NCBI's taxonomy places the organism in Eukaryota, Metazoa, Arthropoda, Insecta, Hymenoptera, Vespidae. The transcript has 5 exons.